UUCCUCGUUAGGUGAGGUUCCUAUAUGGUCGGAAGCUGUUGCCCAGAAAUGUCGAGAGACACCAAUGGGUCAGCAGGAAUAAUCGAAUUAAGGUUAUUUCUAAUACAGUGAGAAUUUAUAUGGAUUUAUUUAUCUCUAUAAGUUCUAGCCAUAUAGUGCUAAAGUUUUUACGAAGGAGG
RNAcentral lists this small RNA (179 nucleotides) under uncultured Ignatzschineria sp. RNAcentral's name for it is "M-box riboswitch (ykoK leader)". It matches the Rfam family "M-box riboswitch aptamer (ykoK leader)". From Rfam's summary of the family: M-box riboswitch, also know as ykoK leader is described as a metaloregulatory RNA that sense divalent metals and function as a genetic control element of genes related to divalent metal transport in bacteria. It was first reported upstream of the B.subtilis ykoK gene and genes with related functions in other bacteria. Lineage: Bacteria; Pseudomonadati; Pseudomonadota; Gammaproteobacteria; Cardiobacteriales; Ignatzschineriaceae. The record is from RNAcentral.